This 231-nucleotide signal recognition particle RNA is filed under the name uncultured Lachnoclostridium sp. Its description in RNAcentral is "Bacterial large signal recognition particle RNA". It matches the Rfam family "Bacterial large signal recognition particle RNA", at positions 7 to 230 of the family's 256-position model. Rfam says of the family: The signal recognition particle (SRP) is a universally conserved ribonucleoprotein involved in the co-translational targeting of proteins to membranes. Archaeal SRP consists of a 7S RNA and homologues of the eukaryotic SRP19 and SRP54 proteins. Lineage: Bacteria; Bacillati; Bacillota; Clostridia; Lachnospirales; Lachnospiraceae. The record is from RNAcentral.
UGCAGCCGGGGAGAUAGCGGUGCCCUGUACCUGCAAUCCGCUCCAGCAGGGGUGAUGUCCUGUCUCGGACAUUUUAUUGCAGAGCUGCCUUUUGUAAGCGGCGGUGACGUUUGGGUCUUGCGCAAUGGAAAUCCAUGAACCGUGUCAGGGCAGGAAUGCAGCAGCACUAAGUGGAAGCUUUCAUGUGCCGUGAGGCUGCCUGGACUGAGUUGGCUGCAGAAGUAACGUCUG